This 203-nucleotide ribosomal RNA is filed under the name uncultured bacterium. RNAcentral describes it as "partial 16S ribosomal RNA". It matches the Rfam family "Bacterial small subunit ribosomal RNA", at positions 524 to 724 of the family's 1533-position model. The record is from RNAcentral.
UACGUAGGUGGCUAGCGUUGUCCGGAUUACUGGGCGUAAAGAGCGCGCAGGCGGUCGUUCAAGUCGAGUGUGAAAGCCCCCCGGCUCAACUGGGGAGGGUCACUCGAUACUGAUCGACUCGAAGGCAGGAGAGGGAAGCGGAAUUCCCGGUGUAGUGGUGAAAUGCGUAGAUAUCGGGAGGGAAACACCAGUGGCGAAGGCGG